CGAAACUGUACGUCAUGUUUGACGUCACCAGCUGUAACAGAAAUUGAAAACGCAGAGGAAAAAGGAUUUAUCAACUUCAAGUCUGUUAAAACUGAAACUCGGUAUCACAUCUGUCUCGCACUUCUGAAACACUGUGAAAUGGAUCAAAUCGGACUUUGUCGUGGAGACUCGGAAGAACCCAGCUGCCUAAAUUAUUAUGCCAGUGGAACACAAAACAGGUAUUGAAAGUGGAACAAAAUAUUGGAAAAAGAAAGAAGAUUUGUAGCAUUGUAUUGAAUAUGCCUGAUUAAAAGUAUUAAUGGAUGAAUUGGUGUUUUUCUCUUUUCUUCAGAAAAUUUGAAAUCGGAGGCAAUGCUCAGAAU
Molecule: long non-coding RNA, 362 nt
Organism: Saccostrea cuccullata (small rock oyster)
Lineage: Eukaryota; Metazoa; Mollusca; Bivalvia; Ostreida; Ostreidae
Exons: 3
Source: RefSeq, a predicted model, not a curated record